Molecule: ribosomal RNA, 184 nt
Filed under: Hister nomas
Lineage: Eukaryota; Metazoa; Arthropoda; Insecta; Coleoptera; Histeridae
Description: partial 18S ribosomal RNA
Rfam family: Eukaryotic small subunit ribosomal RNA
Source: RNAcentral
CACACCGCCCGUCGCUACUACCGAUUGAAUGAUUUAGUGAGGUCUUCGGACUGGUACGCGGUGGCGUUUCGACGUCGUCGAUGUUGCCGGGAAGAUGACCGAACUUGAUCAUUUAGAGGAAGUAAAAGUCGUAACAAGGUUUCCGUAUGUGAACCUGCGGAAGGAUCAUUAACGUUUGGUGGAG